AGAGUUCAAGAGUACGUGAAACUGUAUGGUAGUAAACGCAGCCUUCCUCGAAGUUCUUCACGUGGAUCCAGCCUAAGUGUCUGGCGGUGGUGCGGCGGCAGUUAACCGAGCAGCAAUGCCGGCUGUUGUGCAUCUUACUGUUGGCACGCGGGUGCAUCUCCAUGUGUUGUUACUGUAGGAACUGUUGGGACUGAACCUAAGGCCCGGUGCAAAGUUCUGGCUGGCUGUAGUGGCCGGCUGGAGUGCUGCUGGUGUCCUGGCUUCGGACCCGACAGGCAGUCAUGGCAGACUUGUAUAGCAAGCAACCGUUUGCUGUUGCGGUCGGCCAUUCCCUACAGAGUAGGUCGGCGGAGGCUGCGACCCGUCUUGAAACACGGAC
Molecule: ribosomal RNA, 379 nt
Filed under: Candacia discaudata
Lineage: Eukaryota; Metazoa; Arthropoda; Copepoda; Calanoida; Candaciidae
Description: partial 28S ribosomal RNA
Source: RNAcentral